CGAGCGAGCGUCUGAUAAGACAAGCUCUCGAUCGCUUCGGGACCAGCCGGCCGGCCUGCAGCUAGCGAUCUCCCCAUCGUCCGUCGUCGAUGACGGCCGGGACGGCGCCGGCGGUGAGGGUUCUGGGCGGGGAGGUGAGCCCGUUCACGGCGCGGGCGCGGCUGGCGCUGGAGCUGCGGGGCGUGGCGCACGAGCUCCUGGAAGAGCCGCUCGGGCCCGCCAAGAGCGCCAGGCUCCUCGCCGCCAACCCCGUCUACGGCAAGAUCCCCGUCCUGCUCCUCCCCGACGGCCGCGCCAUCUGCGAGUCCGCCGUCAUCGUCCAGUACGUCGACGACGCCGCGCGGUCCACCGCCAGCGCCGGCGGCGAGGACGAUUGCCUCCUCCUGCCGGAGGACCCCUACGAGCGCGCCAUGCACCGCUUCUGGACCGCCUACAUCGACGACAAGUUUUGGCCGGCGCUGGACGCCGUCUCCCUGGGCCCGACCCCGGCCGCCCAGGCGCAGGCGGCCGACGACACCCGCGCGGCGCUGCGGCUCCUGGAGGAGGCGUUCAGGGACCGCAGCGGCGGCGCGGCUUUCUUCUCCGGCCGCGACGCGUCGCCGGGGCUCCUGGACCUGGCGCUCGGCUGCUUCCUGCCGGCGCUCCGGGCCUGCGAGCGCCUCCACGGGCUCUCCCUCGUCGACGCGUCCGCCACGCCGCUGCUGGACGGGUGGAGCCGCCGCUUCGCCGCGCACCCCGCCGCCAGGCGCGUCCUGCCGGACACGGAGAAGGUGGUGCGGUUCACGAGGUUCCUCCAGGAAAAGUUCGGGGCCGAUGAUGUCUCCACCAAAUGAUAAGAUCCUCUCCGCCGCCGUUGUUAUUGUUAUGCGUCGCCACCAAAUAAACUUGUCGAUGCAUAUAUUAUUAUAUUUACAGAUUUGAUUGCAAGAAACUAAAGUCGACAGAUGCUUGCAAUCCCGAUUUGUAAACAUCACGCACACUACUUGGUUUCGCGGAAUAAAUUACACUAGAACUCUAGAAGGUUAGUCCUGAAGGCUGCAUCUUGCGGACACGGAGAAGGUGGUGCGGUUCACGAGGUCCCGAUUUCCAGCACGAACAAUUCACUGGCUGGUAGAAGAGCAUAGCAAACAAGCUGGUUUCCUCUUCAUCCAACCCCACCACCAUCAAGUUGCUUUUGUCAAAGUUAAUCUUCAUGCCAGUGACUUGCAUAUGGUGGCUUCAGUUUCGGGUCACACUGAUCGUGCCUUCCUUGUGAUCCUCAGGCGACAACUUUGGCUUCGGAUCAUGCUGAACACAUGACAUCACCCAAAGGUUCGUGCAUCAUCCAAUCUCAUAUGCUAGCUCCGAAAUUUCCUGCUCAUUUGUUGUAACCAACAUAUUAGUACCGAAAGUUAGAAAAAAAUCCAAAGGUUACAGACUCAUGUAAGGAAUGGCUGGAUCACUUGUGACCUUCGGCUGGCUUUAUUAACUGUGGUGUUGGGUACGAAAACAAGGCUGGGGUUACCUCAAUCUCUACAUGUGCCUGGACUACAGCAACUUGACACCUCACUCCUCAGGUACCAUCUACAUUCCCACCUAACGGACCAACAAUUGGUGGAGCACACAUCCACGGUUACAUCUACAGAUUAAAUUGGACUCUGUGAGACCACAUCACCUUAGCCAUAUAAGAGAGCUGGCAGGUCCAUAUUUUCAACUGGUGGCUUGGCAUUUGUCUUGCUCCAAUAACCCAUAUUGCUUCUCCAAAAUUGGAUGCAGAAGAGAAAAAAAUAUUUAUGUGGAAGCUUGCAUAGAGCAUAUGUUCACCUCAAAAAUGCAAUAGCAAUGCUUGUGUCUACAGAAAGCUUGAACAGAGUUUGUGACUUUGGGUUGUACUUAUAUAGCAAAGGGUGGCUCUCAAAGCCGCAAGUGUCGUAAUAGUCAUUCAAGGCCUAUGCAUGCAACUGCUAUGUUUCACGUCCAACGAAUGACUGAGUAUGGAUCCAGCAAAAAUUUCAAACAUAUUCAUCAUCCUAUAAUCAUUCUAACUGCAUGCAUCGGAAUGCAAAAGUGAUGACGAAAUGCGUGCAUAGAUUCAUGAGCAAUCCCAGCCUAACAGUUGAUGGCAGACAUUUUUCCGGCAGUUUCCAAGACUAGGCAAUGUGAGCUGUUAAAAAAAAUAAAGGGUGAUUUAAUAUCUUUCUUUGUGUUUGCCGAGUGCUGACAUAUAAAGAUUGUCAACAGAAUCAUUAUGGCUAUGGAUGAUACUCACAUAACUUACAAA
This is an RNA transcript of Panicum hallii, 2260 nucleotides long. It is a transcript of the gene named probable glutathione S-transferase BZ2, with no coding region annotated. NCBI's taxonomy places the organism in Eukaryota, Viridiplantae, Streptophyta, Magnoliopsida, Poales, Poaceae. The record is from RefSeq and is a predicted model, not a curated record. The transcript is spliced from 4 exons.